This is a long non-coding RNA of Raphanus sativus (radish), 616 nucleotides long. RefSeq lists it as uncharacterized. NCBI's taxonomy places the organism in Eukaryota, Viridiplantae, Streptophyta, Magnoliopsida, Brassicales, Brassicaceae. The record is from RefSeq and is a predicted model, not a curated record. The transcript has 4 exons.
AUUCUCAUCUCUCUCUCUCUCUCUUCGUCGGUUCUUCUUUCUCUCUUCUUCUUUCUCUUUUGCAUGUUCUUCAUCGAUUGAUCACUGCUACGUCCUCCUCCAAAUCCGUCAAUGAAAUCACCGUGGAGAUUUGGUGCCAUCGACUUGGUUCCAUCUAUUUGGUUCCAAAACUCGUUGUAUUCGAAAGACCUGGGAGAUUGGAAGAAUAUGGAACCAAAUCAAUGUAAUAAGAGAUAAAGCUAUGGUGGGUUUGAGAGAGAACACGGUGGAAACGUUAAGGCAAAGGUCUGAUAAUGUACAUUACCCACUCUCUGGCACAGAUCAAACAUGGGCAAAGCAUCUUUCUUUCACUUAAGUUGGCAAGAGUUUUUGCAGGUGGAGCCAAGACAAAAAGCAGACCACAUGUGACAGAAGAGGACAAUAAGAAAUUGAAGAGGACAAGAAGAAAAAGAAGCUUUAUAGCUUGUGAGUGGUGGCAGUCAACAUGUGACAAGAAGAAGACAUUUCAAAGCUUGGUUCACGUAAAUGUGUGGCCAACAUGUGACAAGAAACACAAGUUCUGUUUCAUUUUUUUCUUUAUAAGCUUUGCAAUAUGACUUGAUGUUAUGAAAGCAUG